GCGACAGAGCAAGACUCUGUCUCAAAAAAAAUAAAUAAAUAAAUAAAUAAAUAAAUAAAAUAAAAAGAUACAAUUCCAGGUGCAAUGGGAGGAAAAACAGUAAAAUUGUCAGGGCCAUUAAGAAGCUUUCACAAGGUGAAGGGAGGGCUGGAGUUUCUCAAAACAUUGUUACUUAAAGUGUGGUAGUGGGCCAGCAGUAUGGGCAUCACCUAGGAGAUUGUUACUAAUAAAAAUGCAUAAUUUCAGGCCCUACUCUAGACCUACUGGACCCAAAUGUGCGUGUUAGUAAGAUCUCCAGGUGAUUCUUAGGCACAGGAAAGUUCUAGAAGCACUGGCCUGCAGUGGGAAGUACUGUGAGAAUUCAGGGUGGUGAUGCUUUUUCGCAUUUUACAUAAAAUUAUCUUGUUGAAUUUUCAUAAUCCAAUGAAGUAGGUGCUGUUAUUAUCCUUAUCUGACAAAGUACUUGAGACAAAGCAUCUUGCCUGGCUGGCACAAAUAGAGAUGGAGCCCAGUUUCCAAUCUCUUCUGACUGGAAGAAUGUCAGAGAGGGACAUUUAGUAUAAAGGAAUAACAGAUGGAAAGUUGCAGGUGGUAUUUGAAGUACCAAAAAUACCACAGUUCUGUAAUGUGAGUGUUUGUGAAGGUGAAUAGUGGGAAAUACAAUUUGAAGUGUAGGUGAAAGCCAGGUUAUUCAACUCAGACUCCACAGUCAUGGUGUUGACAUUUCUUCAUUUUUGAAUAUAGAGAUGGGAAACUGGUGCAUAUUUUUUUCUGUGAAUAACAUGAAAGCUAUGAAAAAGGCAAGUUUUCUGAAACUUUUACUAACUCGUUUUUGUUAUGUUUUGAGACGAGAUCUCAUUAGGUUGCCCAGGCUGAUCUUGAACUCCUGAGCCCAAGCAAUCCUCCCACCCCAGCCUCCCAAAGUGCUGGAAUUGCAGGCAUGAACUACUGCACCUGGCCAGAAACUUCUAAAACUCAGAAACGUUGCUCCUCCUCACCUCCUACCCCAAGAAAACAUUGUUGUUUGUAAUCACACUCUACAAACUUUACAAGAAGGGCUCAGCUAUUUUUCAGGCUUUGCUAGCCAACCCAGAAGGAAGUGUUCUCCUAAGUCAAGACAAUAAUAAUAUCUUCCUGUCCUUGGG
RNA transcript from Piliocolobus tephrosceles (Ugandan red Colobus), 1145 nucleotides. It is a transcript of the gene named transmembrane and coiled-coil domains 2, with no coding region annotated. NCBI's taxonomy places the organism in Eukaryota, Metazoa, Chordata, Mammalia, Primates, Cercopithecidae. The record is from RefSeq and is a predicted model, not a curated record. The transcript is spliced from 2 exons.